GUCAUACAAUGUUCAUGUUGCCUUAAAACGCAAUCAAAUACAACUUUCAACAACGGAUCUCUUGGCUCUCGCAUCGAUGAAGAACGCAGCGAAAUGCGAUAAGUAAUGUGAAUUGCAGAUUUUCAGUGAAUCAUCGAAUCUUUGAACGCACCUUGCGCUCCUUGGUAUUCCGAGGAGCAUGCCUGUUUGAGUGUCAUUAAAUUCUCAACCCCACCGAUUUGCUUCGGGGGGAUUGGACUUGGAGCGUGCUGGCGAAGGUCGGCUCCUCUUUAAAUGCAUCAGUGGAGAGAAACUUGCCCCAGUGUGAUAAUCCUGUUGCGCUGUGGUGGGUGAAAGUCUGCUUCCAACCGUCCCUCCGGGGACAUAUGUCAUCUUAUUUUGACCUCAAAUCAGGUAGGACUACCCGCUGAACUUAAGCAUAUCAAUA
This 427-nucleotide ribosomal RNA is filed under the name uncultured Amphinema. RNAcentral's name for it is "eukaryotic LSU rRNA". The stretch from base 42 to 196 matches the Rfam family "5.8S ribosomal RNA". Lineage: Eukaryota; Fungi; Basidiomycota; Agaricomycetes; Atheliales; Atheliaceae. The record is from RNAcentral.